Molecule: long non-coding RNA, 882 nt
Organism: Odocoileus virginianus texanus
Lineage: Eukaryota; Metazoa; Chordata; Mammalia; Artiodactyla; Cervidae
Source: RefSeq, a predicted model, not a curated record
UAUGCAUCCCUCCUCUCACCCUAGACCACACAUUCAGAACCAAGGUUGGAGAAUGUGUGAUUCUAUCACAAUAAAGAGAGAAAGUAGAAAGGUGCUUAAAGACAAGAAGAAAGAGAAUCAAUAUUAUCUUUCUGUAACCGAAACACAAAGUAGCCCAGAGAAAAGGCACCAGUUCCUGAAGGCUCCAUAAACCCUCUAGAGCUUAAAGAGGAACACAAAAGCACAAAAGCCAUCACCCAAGAAGACCCUGAGACAUUUGUGAGUGUUUUCCCAGAGAGCAAGAUUUUCCUCAGACCAGCAAGACAAUCAGCCUCAAACAUUUACCUUUGUGCUGUGUAAGAGGGUCCCUUGAUCAUGAAGAUGCGGAGUUGGGGUUCACCAGCAUGUCUUGCUGAAUGCUGAAAACAAAUAAAACAUGAUAUUAAAAAAAUACACAUUAACUAUUUAACUGGCUUGCUUUUAUUCCUUCUAUUUCAUUCAAGAAACAUUUACUAAUUUCCUACCACAAGCCGGCAUUGGAAAUAAAGAGAUGGCAUAAACAAAACACGCCUAAAGAAAAACCAACAAAUAUAGCCCAUUGUAAGGACUGAACAAGAAGUGAUCCACAAUACCUCUUAGGUAGGAGGGUGUGUGUGUGUAUUGGUGUCACUUCCUGAGAUACAUGUGGGUGCACACAGUCAUGUACAUUUCUACACAUACAAUGAAGCAUGGGAGAAUUUUUAAAGAACUUUCCCAUAUUUGUAAUUUAUCUGACUCUCUAAAGGCUUGAGCUCUUGCCUUAAGAUCAGAGAAGAAGAGGGCACUGGAGAAAAUGUCAAGAGUCUUAAAAGUGUUCAUAGCCUUUAAUCUGCAAUUCUCCUUCAGGAGUCCUUCUCUAGGAAA